Molecule: unclassified non-coding RNA, 385 nt
Filed under: soil metagenome
Description: partial contains 5.8S ribosomal RNA, internal transcribed spacer 2, and large subunit ribosomal RNA
Rfam family: 5.8S ribosomal RNA (bases 1-120)
Source: RNAcentral
GAUGAAGAACGCAGCGAAAUGCGAUAAGUAAUGUGAAUUGCAGAAUUCAGUGAAUCAUCGAAUCUUUGAACGCACCUUGCGCUCCUUGGUAUUCCGAGGAGCAUGCCUGUUUGAGUGUCAUGAAAUUCUCAACCUUUUCAGCUUUCUUUGUUGAUCAGGCUUGGAUGUGGGAGUAUGCGGGCUUCUCAGAAGUCGGCUCUCCUGAAAUGCAUUAGCGGGACCUUUGUUGCCUGGCUUUGGUGUGAUAAUUAUCUACGCCAUUGUAGUCAAGCAGCUUAAAAUGAGGUUUCAGCUUCUAACCGUCUCCCCUGAGACAACUUUUUGACAAUUUGACCUCAAAUCAGGUAGGACUACCCGCUGAACUUAAGCAUAUCAUAAGCGGAGG